Molecule: ribosomal RNA, 253 nt
Filed under: uncultured bacterium
Lineage: Bacteria
Description: partial 16S ribosomal RNA
Rfam family: Bacterial small subunit ribosomal RNA
Source: RNAcentral
GCAAGUCGAACGGUAACAGGAAUUAGCUUGCUUCCGCUGACGACCGGCGCACGGGUGCGUAACGCGUAUAGAACCUACCUUUUACAGAGGGAUAGCCUUUAGAAAUGAAGAUUAAUACCUUAUGGUAUUAUAGAUUCGCAUGAAUUUAUAAUUAAAGAUUUAUCGGUAAAAGAUGGCUAUGCGUCCUAUUAGCUAGAUGGUAAGGUAACGGCUUACCAUGGCGACGAUAGGUAGGGGUCCUCAGAGGGAGAUC